Molecule: ribosomal RNA, 419 nt
Filed under: bacterium
Lineage: Bacteria
Description: partial 16S ribosomal RNA
Rfam family: Bacterial small subunit ribosomal RNA
Source: RNAcentral
UGGGGGAUAUUGCACAAUGGGCGAAAGCCUGAUGCAGCGACGCCGCGUGGGGGAUGAAGGCCUUCGGGUUGUAAACUUCUUUUGCUCUGAACAAGGCGCACCAUGGGGUGUGUUGAGUGUAGGGGUUGAUUAGCGCCGGCUAACUACGUGCCAGCAGCCGCGGUAAUACGUAGGGCGCGAGCGUUGUCCGGAAUUAUUGGGCGUAAAGGGCUUGUAGGUGGCUGGUUGCGUCUGUCGUGAAAGCUCAUGGCUUAACUGUGGGUUUGCGGUGGGUACGGGCUGGCUUGAGUGCAGUAGGGGAGGCUGGAAUUCCUGGUGUAGCGGUGGAAUGCGCAGAUAUCAGGAGGAAUACCGGUGGCGAAGGCGGGUCUCUGGGCUGUUACUGACACUGAGGAGUGAAAGCAUGGGGAGCGAACAGG